Molecule: long non-coding RNA, 2017 nt
Filed under: Paramuricea clavata
Lineage: Eukaryota; Metazoa; Cnidaria; Anthozoa; Malacalcyonacea; Plexauridae
Source: RNAcentral
GCCGCAGAUUAAAGGCUUCAGAUUACGCCUCAGAUUUGGCGUUGGAUUGGGUUUCAAUCAGGCCUUACAUUAAACUGUAUUCAAUCGCUCAAAAGUAGAAUUAUAAAACUUCUUUUUUAGCUAUUUCACAAAAUUAAUUUGACCUGCAUACAUUUUCAAUACUUUACUGUUCAAAACUUAAGAAAGCAAGCUCAUUUGUGAACGAAAUUUGAGACUUAAAACUCUGCACAUGAUAUAUGUUUAUGCACAUUUGCGAUAAAUCGGCAAGAUGGAUAUCAGGAAAGAUUAGUACGAUACCAUGUAUGCCUACGCUUUUGAAAAUUGAAAAUCCUUUGAUGUACUAUUAUUUACUGCAUAUAAUCUAUUUUGACUACCACAUACAUAUUCUUACAAUUUCUUUCUGCUAAUAUGCAUGCAUGAUCGGAUGUUCGAUCGCAAAAUUUUGGUCUUGCUAUUUUGAAUUAAAGUAAUGAAUAAGCUAUUUUUCUGAGAGUAAUGUCACAUAAUUCGAGAAAGUUCCACUGAUCAUAAUUGAAAUAAGUGUGGUUAACAAAUAAAUGUUGUGCAAAACGUAUUUAUGAACACAUUAACUUUAAAAAAAAAAAUAAAAAAAAAAAAAAAUAAAUAAAAUGUGCCUCGAUGGUGAGCUUUGUUUGUCGUGUUACCAACCCUCCAAUUAAAAAAAUUGUAAGAUAGAAGCUUUGUGGGGAAGCUGCUGGUUGUCUUGGCCCCAUCCAGGUUUCCUGUAUAUAUUCCAGGUUUUUUCUGGCCUCCCUGACUAUCCAGCUAUAGUAUGAGUGAUGGUAACGCCCAAAUAUAUGUCUAACUAUCAUCUGGCAGCAGCUGUCUUGUAUACAAAUACAGCUGUGGUGGGAGUUCGUCUAUGGGGAAUACACAUGUUGUGUAUUUGUGGGGUUGAAGUGUUCCCAAUGGUCAACUUCAGGCCCAUAGACUCAGGUUAUUUAUGUAAAUAUAAUCAGUCGAAUCGUAGGUACUGUCCAAGGGGAUUAUCACCCCUUGGUUCAGGUCUAUGUCAGAGGGGGUCGCUACCCUUCGGGCAGAGCUCCUAUGGAGCAUUCAGUCUCUCCUAGCAGGUCUUAUAUAUACCCCUGCGGGAUGAAAACAUAAGGCUUAAUGAGUCUUUGGGUUGACCAGAGUUUGAGAGUAUAAUGUAUAUAAUUGGUUCACUUCACCCUGAACCCAUUCUCCCACAAUGAUUUGGUGUGUGUUUUACUUAUUUUCGGGCUGUUCUUUCACCUAACGUGCUUGAAUUAUUAAAGCAAAUUUAUAUAUAACAAUAUAUAAAUUCAAGUUAAUGAGACAACACGUUUGUCACCUGCAAACCUGGUUAUAAUCUCAUAGUAACAGGAUAAGCUUGUCAACAGCCACAAAAAGGCGAUAUCCAAUAGUCCAAAGUUCAAAUGUUUCUCUGGGCAUGUGUAAACCGAAUGAAAGAUCAACUGACCAAUCAUAUGUCAACAACGAACACGCAGAACAAAGGUCAAUGUGAUAAGGGAGUUCACUUUGACAAAUAUCCCAACAAAGAGCAAUGUCUUGUUACCGAGAAAGAAAAUUUCCACCCACCCACCCGUUCAUGUUCCUGGUAUCUGGUGCAUUGUAUGGGUACUAGCUAAUGUUAUGCAAGGACUGUUCAAGAACAAUUUGUCAAGAAAGACUAUCGAACAAUUUUCUCAUGGAAAAUUAUCGCUAUGUAAAUACUUAAAUGUUCAAACAAAUAAAUUUUGGUUCGGGGUUGAAGUGUUCCCAAUGGUCAACUUCAGGCCCAUAGACUCAGGUUAUUUAUGUAAAUAUAAUCAGUCGAAUCGUAGGUACUGUCCAAGGGGAUUAUCACCCCUUGGUUCAGGUCUAUGUCAGAGGGGGUCGCUACUCUUCGGGCAGAGCUCCUAUAUAUACGCCUGCGGGAUGAAAACAUAAGGCUUAAUGAGUCUUUGGGUUGACCAGAGUUUGAGAGUAUAAUGUAUAUAAUUGGUUCACUUCACCCUGAACCCAUUCUCCC